AUUGAACGCUGGCGGCAGGCCUAACACAUGCAAGUCGAACGAGUAGCGGACGGGUGAGUAAUGUCUGGGAAACUGCCUGAUGGAGGGGGAUAACGACUGGAAACGGUAGCUAAUACCGCAUACCAUCGGUUGGGCCCAGAUGGGAUUAGCUAGUUGGGGGGGUAACGGCUCACCAAGGCGACGAUCCCUAGCUGGUCUGAGAGGAUGACCAGCCACACUGGAACUGAGACACGGCCCAGACUCCUACGGGAGGCAGCAGUGGGGAAUAUUGGACAAUGGGCGCAAGCCUGAUGCAGCCACGCCGCGUGAAUGAAGAAGGCCUUCGGGUCGUAAAGCACUUUCAGCGGGGAGGCGUUACCCGCAGAAGAAGCCCCGGCUAACUCCGUGCCAGCAGCCGCGGUAAUAC
RNAcentral lists this ribosomal RNA (406 nucleotides) under uncultured bacterium. RNAcentral's name for it is "partial 16S ribosomal RNA". It matches the Rfam family "Bacterial small subunit ribosomal RNA", at positions 29 to 526 of the family's 1533-position model. The record is from RNAcentral.